AUCUUUCUAGUAUAAGAUGUACUAGUGACUUCCAAUCACUUAGUCUUGGUUAAAGUCCAAGGAAAGAUA
RNAcentral lists this transfer RNA (69 nucleotides) under Oryzias marmoratus (marmorated medaka). RNAcentral's name for it is "tRNA-Gly". It matches the Rfam family "tRNA". From Rfam's summary of the family: Transfer RNA (tRNA) molecules are approximately 80 nucleotides in length. Their secondary structure includes four short double-helical elements and three loops (D, anti-codon, and T loops). Further hydrogen bonds mediate the characteristic L-shaped molecular structure. tRNAs have two regions of fundamental functional importance: the anti-codon, which is responsible for specific mRNA codon recognition, and the 3' end, to which the tRNAs corresponding amino acid is attached (by aminoacyl-tRNA synthetases). tRNAs cope with the degeneracy of the genetic code in two manners: having more than one tRNA (with a specific anti-codon) for a particular amino acid; and 'wobble' base-pairing, i.e. permitting non-standard base-pairing at the 3rd anti-codon position. Lineage: Eukaryota; Metazoa; Chordata; Actinopteri; Beloniformes; Adrianichthyidae. The record is from RNAcentral.